GAUGAACGCUGGCGGCGUGCCUAAUACAUGCAAGUCGAGCGAACGGACGAUAAUCUUGCUUCUCUGAUGUUAGCGGCGGACGUGUGUGUAACACGUGUAUAACCUACCUAUAAGACUGGUAUAACUUCGGGAAACCGGAGCUAAUACCGUAUAAUAUUUUGCACCGCAGGGUUCAAAGGUGAGAUACGGUCUUUCUGUCUCUUCUCGAUGGAUCCGCGCUGGAUUAGCUAGUUGGUAAGGUAACGGCUUACCAAGGCAACGAUGCAUAGCCGAGGUGAGAGGGUGAUAGGCCACACUGGAACUGAGACACGGUCAAGACUACUAAGGGAGGCAGCAGUCGGGAAUCUUCCGCAAUGGGCGAAAGCCUGACGGAGCAACGCCGAGUGAGUGAUGAAGGUCUUCGGAUCGUAAAGAUCUGUUAUUAGGGAAGAACAUAUGUGGAAGUAAAUGUGCACAUAUUGACGGUAACUAAUCAGAAAGCCACGGCUAACUACGUG
This 497-nucleotide ribosomal RNA is filed under the name uncultured bacterium. RNAcentral's name for it is "partial 16S ribosomal RNA". It matches the Rfam family "Bacterial small subunit ribosomal RNA", at positions 28 to 507 of the family's 1533-position model. The record is from RNAcentral.